GUUUCCGUAGGUGGACCUGCGGAAGGAUCAUUG
This 33-nucleotide ribosomal RNA is filed under the name Ophiocaryon heterophyllum. Its description in RNAcentral is "partial 18S ribosomal RNA". Lineage: Eukaryota; Viridiplantae; Streptophyta; Magnoliopsida; Proteales; Sabiaceae. The record is from RNAcentral.